GACGAACGCUGGCGGCGUGCUUAACACAUGCAAGUCGAACGGAAAGGCCCUGCUUUUGUGGGGUGCUCGAGUGGCGAACGGGUGAGUAACACGUGAGUAACCUGCCCUUGACUUUGGGAUAACUUCAGGAAACUGGGGCUAAUACCGGAUAGGAGCUCCUGCUGCAUGGUGGGGGUUGGAAAGUUUCGGCGGUUGGGGAUGGACUCGCGGCUUAUCAGCUUGUUGGUGGGGUAGUGGCUUACCAAGGCUUUGACGGGUAGCCGGCCUGAGAGGGUGACCGGCCACAUUGGGACUGAGAUACGGACCAGACUCCUACGGGAGGCAACAGUGGGGAAUAUUGCACAAUGGGCGGAAGCCUGAUGCAGAAACGCCGCGUGCGGGAUGACGGCCUUCGGGUUGUAAACCGCUUUCGCCUGUGACGAAGCGUGAGUGACGGUAAUGGGUAAAGAAGCACCGGCUAACUACGUG
RNAcentral lists this ribosomal RNA (468 nucleotides) under uncultured bacterium. Its description in RNAcentral is "partial 16S ribosomal RNA". It matches the Rfam family "Bacterial small subunit ribosomal RNA", at positions 28 to 507 of the family's 1533-position model. The record is from RNAcentral.